GUUUUGCAGGCCCUAGCCCUGACUGUGGAAGUCCGUUAGCCGCAGGCGGGGCGAGGCACAGCCCUGCCCGACUUGGGGGAGCGGGUCAUUCUGGAGAGCCAGACCACGGGGACAGACACGCCCAGCGCAGAGGAGCCAAAAGCCGGGCACUGCCCUGCUUACCCCAGGAUCAUCAAGGCUAAAUGGGGUGAAGAUGGAAAUAUUUUGUAGUAAAUGAGGAAAGGCAAUAGAGAGAUUGAGAAUGUUAUCAAGUGCAGAAUGGAUUAUGGUCAAAGAAGUGGAUGUAGAUGUCAUAAAAUUGGCACUGGGGACCUCAUGAGCUAAUUCAACAGCUUCAUGUACAGUAACUGACAAAGUGUCAAGACAAAGACUAGCAAGCUGAGGUUCAUCAAAUAAUCGAGCCUGGGUAAGAAGCAUGAAGGCAUUAUCUGCUCUAAGGUGUUUAGUGAGAAAUUCCGCACAAUGUGCUUCCAGGGCUGGGACUGCAUACUUCUUGGCAGUGUAGAGAGUAGUCAUAACUGUUUCAGGACCAAUGUGAACUUCAUCUGAAUAAAGAAACCUGAGCAGCGCCAGGUUUCCAAGGCAGCGGGCUCUAUGUCGGGCAGCUCGAUCUUGGCCGAGGUGGUGGCCACGCCACCGUUGAACAUGGCGUCGAAGAUGGCGCUGCCGGUGGCCAGCAAGAAGCGGUGGGCGGGGAUGCGCUGCUGGCCGGGCCCGGGGGCCCCCCCCUGCCGCUGGGCUGCCAUGGGCCUCCCUUGCCCACCACGAAGUGCACGUCGCUGACCAGCUCGUUGGUGAAGAGGAAGGCGAAGCGCUCCUGCAGUGAGCCCUUGGUGACUUGCCAGUUAUACACGGGCUCCCGCUGCAGCGCCGCGGGGGCCGCCUCCGGGGGCCUGCCUGAACCCGCCAUCGCCGCCCCGCGGGCCGCUCACUCCGCCCGAGGCACGCGCAGCUAAAAGGCAUUUUUCUGUUUCUGGAACCUCUCACUCUAGUGCUUAAGAUUAAAAGAAAGCUAUAGAAACUUUUAGGUAAUAUUUAUGCUGAAUCCCUUAUCUUUUCCCUCAACAUUUAACUUCAAAAUUUGCAGGGCAAUGGUGUCCUCAGAGAUGCUACAAUCAUACCUCUCAUAUGUCCCACGUUUUGAGGAACAUCACCCAUUUUAGUCCCACAGUUAUCUGCAUGAAUCUGUUG
Molecule: long non-coding RNA, 1191 nt
Organism: Mauremys reevesii (Reeves's turtle)
Lineage: Eukaryota; Metazoa; Chordata; Testudines; Geoemydidae
Exons: 4
Source: RefSeq, a predicted model, not a curated record